This 162-nucleotide unclassified non-coding RNA is filed under the name uncultured Rozellomycota. RNAcentral's name for it is "uncultured Cryptomycota sequence contains ITS1". The record is from RNAcentral. Lineage: Eukaryota; Fungi; Rozellomycota.
CAAAUCUUUUGUGGGGGGAGUGCGGAAGGUUUAGCUGGCAAUCUAGAUUUAUAUUUUGCUUGGCCGAUCUGACCCAUACCACCACAACAUUGGCACAGGGCCGCAAGGCUCUGAUGUUUACGCUUGUUUGUUUGACAGAUUUAUAUGAGACUAAAAUAUAGA